GCUGGGUUUGUCGAUAAGUGAAUUACAUUUUGUGUACCCGGUAUUUGAGCCCUAUAUGAUGCAUGAUCGUCGCUUCUAGUUUGCAACUACUUCAACAUAUUCAAUAUACAUGUAUAGUAUUAUUUGAAGUGUUAACGUUCAAGAUGGUAUGAAGUGUCAUACUUUAAGCAAUUAUAAUUUUUGAAGAGCAUUUGAAAUCUAAAAAUAGUACAUGAAGUCUUCCUGAUUAGCUUGAUAGAUUUUUUGUUUUCGAUAAAAGCCCCUCUGUA
This 269-nucleotide long non-coding RNA is filed under the name Mytilus galloprovincialis (Mediterranean mussel). The record is from RNAcentral. Lineage: Eukaryota; Metazoa; Mollusca; Bivalvia; Mytilida; Mytilidae.